RNAcentral lists this ribosomal RNA (164 nucleotides) under Centaurea lingulata. RNAcentral describes it as "5.8S ribosomal RNA". It matches the Rfam family "5.8S ribosomal RNA". From Rfam's summary of the family: 5.8S ribosomal RNA (5.8S rRNA) is a component of the large subunit of the eukaryotic ribosome. It is transcribed by RNA polymerase I as part of the 45S precursor that also contains 18S and 28S rRNA. Lineage: Eukaryota; Viridiplantae; Streptophyta; Magnoliopsida; Asterales; Asteraceae. The record is from RNAcentral.
AAACGACUCUCGGCAACGGAUAUCUCGGCUCACGCAUCGAUGAAGAACGUAGCAAAAUGCGAUACUUGGUGUGAAUUGCAGAAUCCCGUGAACCAUCGAGUUUUUGAACGCAAGUUGCGCCCAAAGCCAUUCGGUCGAGGGCACGUCUGCCUGGGCGUCACGCA